AGUGAACGCUGGCGGUAGGCCUAACACAUGCAAGUCGAACGGCAGCACAGUAAGAGCUUGCUCUUACGGGUGGCGAGUGGCGGACGGGUGAGGAAUACAUCGGAAUCUACUUUUUCAUGGGGGAUAACGUAGGGAAACUUACGCUAAUACCGCAUACGACCUACGGGUGAAAGCAGGGGAUCUUCGGACCUUGCGCGAUUGAAUGAGCCGAUGUCGGAUUAGCUAGUUGGCGGGGUAAAGGCCCACCAAGGCGACGAUCCGUAGCUGGUCUGAGAGGAUGAUCCGCCACACUGGAACUGAGACACGGUCCAGACUCUUACGGUAGGCAGCAGUGGGGAAUAUUGCACAAUGGGCGCAAGCCUGAUCCAGCCAUACCGCGUGGGUGAAGAAGGCCUUCGGGUUGUAAAGCCCUUUUGUUGGGAAAGAAAAGCAGCAGGUUAAUACCCCGCUGUUCUGACGGUACCCAAAGAAUAAGCACCGGCUAACUUCGUG
This 492-nucleotide ribosomal RNA is filed under the name uncultured bacterium. RNAcentral's name for it is "partial 16S ribosomal RNA". It matches the Rfam family "Bacterial small subunit ribosomal RNA", at positions 29 to 507 of the family's 1533-position model. The record is from RNAcentral.